GAUGAACGCUGGCGGCGUGCCUAAUACAUGCAAGUCGAGCGAACGGACGAGAAGCUUGCUUCUCUGAUGUUAGCGGCGGACGGGUGAGUAACACGUGGAUAACCUACCUAUAAGACUGGGAUAACUUCGGGAAACCGGAGCUAAUACCGGAUGAUAUUUUGAACCGCAUGGGUCAAAAGUGAAAGACGGUCUUGCUGUCACUUAUAGAUGGAUCCGCGCUGCAUGAGCUAGUUGGUAAGGUAACGGCUUACCAAGGCAACGAUGCAUAGCCGACCUGAGAGGGUGAUCGGCCACACUGGAACUGAGACACGGUCCAGACUCCUGCGGGAGGCAGCAGUAGGGAAUCUGCCGCAAUGGGCGAAAGCCUGACGGAGCAACGCCGCGUGAGUGAUGAAGGUCUUCGGAGCGUAAAACUCUGUUAUGAGGGAAGAACAUAUGUGUAAGUAACUGUGCACAUCGUGACGGUACCUAAUCAGAAAGCCACGGCUAACUACGUG
This 497-nucleotide ribosomal RNA is filed under the name uncultured bacterium. RNAcentral's name for it is "partial 16S ribosomal RNA". It matches the Rfam family "Bacterial small subunit ribosomal RNA", at positions 28 to 507 of the family's 1533-position model. The record is from RNAcentral.